RNAcentral lists this ribosomal RNA (445 nucleotides) under uncultured bacterium. RNAcentral's name for it is "partial 16S ribosomal RNA". It matches the Rfam family "Bacterial small subunit ribosomal RNA", at positions 354 to 796 of the family's 1533-position model. The record is from RNAcentral.
GUGAGGAAUAUUGGUCAAUGGGCGAAAGCCUGAACCAGCCAUGUCGCGUGAAGGAUGAAGGUCCUAUGGAUUGUAAACUUCUUUUGCAGGAGGGUAAAGUGAGCUACGUGUAGUUCAUUGCAAGUACCCUGCGAAUAAGCAUCGGCUAACUCCGUGCCAGCAGCCGCGGUAAUACGGAGGAUGCGAGCGUUAUCCGGAUUUAUUGGGUUUAAAGGGUGCGUAGGCGGACUAAUUAGUCAGCGGUGAAAUUUUGCGACUCAACCGUAAAACUGCCGUUGAGACUGUUAGUCUUGAGUGCGGUAGAGGUAGGCGGAAUGUGUGGUGUAGCGGUGAAAUGCUUAGAUAUCACACAGAACACCGAUUGCGUAGGCAGCUUACUGGAGCGCAACUGACGCUGAGGCACGAAAGCGUGGGGAUCGAACAGGAUUAGAUACCCGAGUAGUCC